GCCACAUGAGGAGGAGAGAAAAGGUAUUUAUAAAAAGUAAUAAUACAAAAUAAAGAUGCAGUGUCUGUGUAAACUGCUUAUAAUUCAUGGACAUUAUACAUUUACACAUGACUUUUUACAUCUGUUGUUUUUGUGGUAUUUGCACAGGUCAGGUUAAAUUGUAAUAACUCAUUGUACUUUGCCAUCCUACUCUGUUUGAAUGUGUACAUUUACUGACAUUGCAGAUGGGUUCUAUGUAGAGAGCCUUCUCAAAGUUGCAAGCUCCAAGAAAGUUAAAAGGCACUUUGUAACAGUUGCAGAGCUACAGAGGAGAUGCUCAGCCCCAGAAAACUACUCUGCCAACCUCAUGGUCACAUACUUGAGGAAGGCAAAACAUAAGAAAAAGGAGUUAGAAGGGCAGUUGAGACAGGCAGGAGUGCAACCUUCUAAAUAUGCAGCAAACACUACUAUGUGCUCCCGGCUGGUGGAAGAUGAGUGCAAAAGUCUGGCAGAGGACCUUGGACAGCUCACAAAGCACAUCCCCUUUGAAAGCAUUGGGAAAAGACUGGCUGAGGGCAACAAAAACAUACCAUCUGCUAUUGUAAAAGUUGAAGAAUUGAGGUAAAUUUCUUAUACUUCUAGUUUCCUUUGUCUUCCCUACGUUACACACACAUGCGGCAAAAA
This 663-nucleotide long non-coding RNA is filed under the name Astyanax mexicanus (Mexican tetra). RNAcentral describes it as "lncRNA (ENSAMXG00005002888.1)". Lineage: Eukaryota; Metazoa; Chordata; Actinopteri; Characiformes; Acestrorhamphidae. The record is from RNAcentral.